GCAUCUGCGUCCCAGCGCCGAAGCGAGGCAGGGCAGGUGUGCGCACAGGAGCGGCGGGCGGGCAGGACGUGCCGAGACCCGCGCUCCGCCGCGCUCGCCCCGAGCGGCAGCUGCAGCCCCGCGGGCGGAGCCGGCGCGGCCCGGUUGUGGCCGAGGGGAGCGGGGCGCGGCGGGGCGGGAUCAGGUGUGCAGGUGUGCGCGGCGUCGGCCUCAGCCUGCUCCUGCUGCAGCGCAGCGCGAGCGCCCGGCACAGCCCCGGCGGCGGCGGCGGCGGAGUGCUCGUCGCGGUGACAUGGCACAGAUCCGAGCGCGGAGAUCUCGGCGAUGGCCCGAGUUGUUUGCAUGGUGCAAGUGACUCUUAACAUGUGGGAUGGGAAAAUGAUAGUUCUGCAAAUGACCUAGAAACAAAAAGUCACAGUUGCAGCACAUGCUAAAGACAACGUGAGCCGUCUUCUGAGGAAGAGCAGAAGGCAAAGCUUGCAAAGUGCAAUGAAACAUACUCGGCCUCUUCUGAAAGAAAAAAUGCAUCUUUAUAUAUGGGUGACUUUGCAGUUGUUUAUACAGAUGGCUGCUGCUCAAGUAAUGUAUGACUAAAAGAUUAAAUCUCUUCUGGGGAGAGUAGAAAUAACGAAAUAAGCUAGGAAUUUGAACAAAAUUAUAACAAGACUCAACCUGGACAAAUGCAAGGCCUUAUCUUAAGGGAAAUUGCAUUCAGGCUUUUCUGCAAGUGUUUUCACAGGAUUGCACUGAAGGAUUUUCCUUAGGCAGCCUGCAAAGCAGUUGAGCAAGCAGAGAGUCAAAACAUCAUGAAACUGGUUAUUUAUACUGACAGCAAGUUCACUAUUAUUGGUGUGACAAGUUGGGUUAACAACUGGAAAAGUAAUGCCUGAAGAACAAGUACAAGAAGAAGUGUAUAAACAAAGGGGACUUUGAAACACUUGAUAAGCUUACAGAGGGCAUGGAAAUAAAGUGGUUGGAUGCUGGCAACUAUGAGACUAACACAGAGCUGGCUAGGACUUGGAGAGAGAGGAACUGUUUGUGGAUGGAUAUAAUAACUAUAGACAAAGAUCAACUUCCAAAUUACAAAGACAAGAUAAAAAUAUUUUAUGAAGAACAUUUACACCUGGAUGAACAAAGUCACUGCAUCCUUAAAAGAAGUGGCUACUCUGAUGUUUGAGACAAAGAUAACAAGUGGAUUGGGAUUUUCAUGGAAAAGGGAGACGUGAUUACUCUUCCUGCCAGCAUAUACCACUGAUUUAUACUGGAUGAAAAUGUUUGUGUAUAACUUUAUAUCUUACAUUCCCAUAAAGCUGCUUUAACAAACAAGUCUACAGAUUUAUACUCCAGAUUAGUGACCAAGUAUAUUAGGAUUUGCAGCUCAUCAUCAAACUAUAUUACACCAGAAAUAUGAGGAACUGAUUUACUGAAUCUGAGCCUUGGAGUUCUGUCAGCAAUCCAGAUCCAUCUCAUCAGCAGAUAGAUACACAAGUGAUAUGAGAUCUCCUUUCAGCAUUUUGAGGUACACGCGCAGAAACCCCUGCACAGGUCUAAAGAGCAGAUCACCAAGGAAGCAUAACAAGGACUUGCAGGGACAAAAUCAGGAAGACAAAGGUAAAGAGAAUGCUCAGUUGGACUGUGCCUCCCCAGCCCUGGGGCUAGCUCUGUGCAUAUCUCCAUGAGAAUGACCUCGCUCCUCUUGAAAGUCUCUUGUCACUGCGGGUCAUCCAAGGUCUGCAGCACAAGCCUUUUCUGACCAGUGCAUGUGUUCUUCCCACAACCUGAGUCAGAGGUGAACAGACUGCAGAUGGUCCUAGUGCAGGUCUGCAAGGAAAAAUGAUAGAAAUAUGAUUCUGGAUACAUAACCAGUUAGAAAAAAUACUAAGUAUGGGAACAGUGGAUCAUGUGGCAAAGAGACUACUUAUAAAAGUAAAUUAGAAUGCAUACAACCAACAACAUAACGGAUCAGAUCCUGUAGCAUUACAGAGUGUUUAGUGCCAUUGGAUUCAGUGCCACUGGGUUACAAUUGAAAAUGACACCUAUCUGUUGUAUUCAUCAAAAGAAAAAAAAAAGAUACCAAUAGUUUGUUUCUUUAUUUUGGUGUUUUUCUUAUUUCAUUGUAUUUAAACAGUUGCUAAGGAAUUUUGGUGGCAUAUAAGUUCACAACACUGAGAAAACUUUAUGUAAGCAAUGAUCUAACAAAAUUAAUUGUCUUGUCUAUUCAUCUUACAUGAAUUUGGUUCAGAUUCAGCUAUAAAAUAUUAAUCCCAACCCA
Molecule: long non-coding RNA, 2272 nt
Organism: Alligator mississippiensis (American alligator)
Lineage: Eukaryota; Metazoa; Chordata; Crocodylia; Alligatoridae
Exons: 10
Source: RefSeq, a predicted model, not a curated record